This 337-nucleotide unclassified non-coding RNA is filed under the name soil metagenome. RNAcentral describes it as "partial contains 5.8S ribosomal RNA, internal transcribed spacer 2, and large subunit ribosomal RNA". The stretch from base 1 to 120 matches the Rfam family "5.8S ribosomal RNA", at positions 35 to 154 of the family's 154-position model. The record is from RNAcentral.
GAUGAAGAACGUAGCGAAAUGCGAUAAGUAGUGUGAAUUGCAGAAUUCAGUGAAUCAUCGAAUCUUUGAUCGCACAUUGCGCCCCUUGGUAUUCCAUGGGGCAUGCCUGUUCGAGCGUCAUUUGUACCUUCAAGCUCUGCUUGGUGUUGGGUGUUUGUCUCGCCUCUGCGUGUAGACUCGCCUCAAAACAAUUGGCAGCCGGCGUAUUGAUUUCGGAGCGCAGUACAUCUCGCGCUUUGCACUCAUAACGACGACGUCCAAAAGUACAUUUUUACACUCUUGACCUCGGAUCAGGUAGGGAUACCCGCUGAACUUAAGCAUAUCAAUAAGCGGAGGA